Molecule: ribosomal RNA, 108 nt
Organism: Pirellula staleyi DSM 6068
Lineage: Bacteria; Pseudomonadati; Planctomycetota; Planctomycetia; Pirellulales; Pirellulaceae
Source: Rfam
CCCGGUGACCAUAUCAAAAAGGAAACACCUGUUCCCAUCCCGAACACAGCAGUUAAGCUUUUUGAGCCGAUGAUAGUGCAACAAACGCGAAAGUAGGUAUCGCCGGGG